RNAcentral lists this ribosomal RNA (794 nucleotides) under uncultured Bacillus sp. Its description in RNAcentral is "bacterial SSU rRNA". It matches the Rfam family "Bacterial small subunit ribosomal RNA", at positions 57 to 834 of the family's 1533-position model. Lineage: Bacteria; Bacillati; Bacillota; Bacilli; Caryophanales; Bacillaceae. The record is from RNAcentral.
GCAAGUCGAGCGGAUGAUGAGGAGCUUGCUCCUCUGAUUCAGCGGCGGACGGGUGAGUAACACGUGGGCAACCUGCCCUUGAGACUGGGAUAACUUCGGGAAACCGGAGCUAAUACCGGAUAAUAUUUGGAACCUCCUGGUUCCUUAUUGAAAGAUGGUUUCGGCUAUCACUCAAGGAUGGGCCCGCGGCGCAUUAGCUAGUUGGUGAGGUAACGGCUCACCAAGGCGACGAUGCGUAGCCGACCUGAGAGGGUGAUCGGCCACACUGGGACUGAGACACGGCCCAGACUCCUACGGGAGGCAGCAGUAGGGAAUCUUCCACAAUGGACGAAAGUCUGAUGGAGCAACGCCGCGUGAGUGAUGAAGGCCUUCGGGUCGUAAAGCUCUGUUGUUAGGGAAGAACAAGUGCGAGAGUAACUGCUCGCACCUUGACGGUACCUAACCAGAAAGCCACGGCUAACUACGUGCCAGCAGCCGCGGUAAUACGUAGGUGGCAAGCGUUAUCCGGAAUUAUUGGGCGUAAAGCGCGCGCAGGUGGUUUCUUAAGUCUGAUGUGAAAGCCCACGGCUCAACCGUGGAGGGUCAUUGGAAACUGGGGAACUUGAGUGCAGAAGAGGAAAGUGGAAUUCCAAGUGUAGCGGUGAAAUGCGUAGAGAUUUGGAGGAACACCAGUGGCGAAGGCGACUUUCUGGUCUGUAACUGACACUGAGGCGCGAAAGCGUGGGGAGCAAACAGGAUUAGAUACCCUGGUAGUCCACGCCGUAAACGAUGAGUGCUAAGUGUUAGAGGGUUUC